This 16936-nucleotide long non-coding RNA is filed under the name Olea europaea (common olive). Its description in RNAcentral is "long non-coding RNA (OEUR_LNC007725)". The record is from RNAcentral. Lineage: Eukaryota; Viridiplantae; Streptophyta; Magnoliopsida; Lamiales; Oleaceae.
CAAGUUGAACAGUCAAUUUUGGACAGCAGAUCUCAACUUUUUAUCCCCUUAGCACUCAUCAAUCAAAAUUUGACACAUCUAUGUAUAUAUAAAAGAAGAUGAGAACAACACAUCUAUACUCCUAAAAGGAUAAGGUAAUAGAUUGGAAGUUUACAUAACAAUAAAGGAGCUAUGUUGAUGUCAAGUCUUCACACAGAAAUUGAAGCCAGUAACCAAACUGCAGACAUAUAAAUUACAGACACAAUUACAGAGAUAAUAGCCAGUAAACACCACACCAGACAAAUCCAGUAAAUGAAUUUGUCCAAUUUAAGGCUGUCUUAUUAUAUUUUGUUUAGUACACACAACACACAACAUCAUCCAUAGCUACUUUGAAGGGCUUAAACCAUAUUCUGUCAUCAACAGUUGCAUGGGUCACAUGUGCAGUUUGAUCCACAAUUGCAGGCAUGGCCUCCUUCAGCACUGGAGCUUUUCUCAGAUCCGUCGGACUGCCUGCAACGGUUCCGUAAAAUUAAGAAAUGAAAAUAUACGUCAACAAGUGGAAAUAACUCUGGUUGAAUUAGUUUAUGGAGACUGAAAAGGCUCUUGAUGCACCAAGAAGCGAAAAACUCGAUGAAUACCAUUAAUGAAUACUAGUUGAUUCAAACGAAUACUUGGAAUUUAUUAAAAUUAAGUUCGAGUGGAUUAUAAGCAAAUUCAAAGAAAUUGAUUUGAUCAACAAAUCGCUUUGCCCUUAUAUUAAAGAUUUAAAUCAAAGCCUUAUAUUUGAUUGAGAUUAAAAUUAGAUUUUUAGCAGAUUUUGAUAAAAUUUGAUGAAAUACGUAGUUGAAAAGUCGUAGAUCCACAAAAUAUGUGAUUAAAAUUAAUAGUUGACUUUAACUUAAAUUAAAAUUUGAAUUUUAAUUUUUACUAAACAAGGGCUAUAUCUCUAUAUUUUCUGUAUUAUGAAAAUAAAAAAAAAAAAAAUAAUAAUAAUAAUAAAGUAGUGUAUUAAUAGGAAAACCUUUAGCUAAAUAUAAUCUCUUGAUUGCACCUACCUAAAAUAUUAUUUAAAGUGCACAAAUUAAUAGAAGUAUCGUAAUAAAACUAUUCAUGGACAUCGACUAUCAACUGCUUCAACUCCCAUUUAAAAGAGCGAAGAUAAAAACUAACAAGGCCUAUUAUAAGGAUUAUAAGUUUUUCGAUCUCUUAAUAGAUGUAAUAAUGAAUAGAUCAAAGAAUUCAAAAAGAAAUUAUUUAAUCGACCCCUUUGAUUAGACUUACAUCUUCUUUGGAGCGAUCCCUUCGAUGAUGGUAACUGUCGUGCUCUUCUCGACGUCCGGGUACAUAUUGCCGCAACUUUCAAUACCAAAAAAGUAACUUAUAAGUAAAUCAACAUAAAAUUCUUUAUAUAGUUGGAAUAUUAAAUCGAAAAUAUGUUUACCCGCAGUCGCUUCCGCAGGAGCAGCUCGAGCCACAAUUACAGCCGGAUGACAUAUUCUUCAGAUGUGAAAAAGGAAAAAUUAUGUGGAGAGAUUUUAUCAAUUGAAAUGAAUUCUUUGCAGUGCGUGCUCUCAAGUAGGUGUUUCUUGAUAGACUUGUUGGUUCCUAUUUAUAAUAUAAAUAUAGUGCAGUUAUGACAUGUUUGGCGUAGAGAUUCGAUGCGAUUAAGAAAAAAAUUAAUUUUUUUUGUGUCCUAAUUAUAUGUAUUUGAUUUUGACAAAUUUAAAAUAGACGAAACGGAUGAUUCCCUGAAUUUUUAAUGGUUAAGAUCAUUGUUGGACAAGGUCUUCAAGAAAAGUUUCAGCGAAAGUCCUCGAUCUAUUGUAGUUAUAUCAAGCAGACGUUCAACCUUUAAUUCUUGACAAUUAAACCCUUAUUUGAGCCCCAUUCUCUAAAAACUCAAUUUUCCUCAAACGUAUUUUCAACUACACAUUCUCACAAUAAAAUAAUUUUGCACGUAAACUCAUAUUUUUCUCACUUUUAACUUCACAUUUUUUCAAAAAAUCAUUAUUACAAAAUUCAUUUUUCACAAAAAGUUAGGCUCAAACAAAGCUUAAAUUAUCAACAUUUAUUAUUUUUGUAGAGCCUGGCCUUGGUGGACGGAAUCCCUUGCCAAUUUUAUAUUUGAUGAGGUAACAACCGCCACAGUCGACUUCGACUGUAUGCAUCGACAUGAUCUCUUACUAUGCACUCUCCACCUCAAGAUGAGCACCUCGAGCCUUAUGACGGAAAAGCUCACCCAAGUUAACACGCGGUGGCGUGUUAGGAUCAUCGCCAAAAACUAAAGAUUGACGAUCUAUUUAUAUAACAUUAAUAUUGGAGAUGUCUACUGCAAUUUUUCUUUUAAUGAGUGUUGGAAAAAGGCAAAGGUGUCGAGCUUGCUUCUCCAAAUAUUUUGACAUUAAAUCCCUAUCAGAGUCACUUUCGUAAGCAUAUAAUUAGCAUUAUCUUAUUACCUAUCCUCCAAAAUUGAAAUUAUCGCAGCCGAUGCUUACAAGAAUCAUCAACCUUUGGUAAAUAAUUAUGUACUUGGAUUAAAAUGUAGAUUUUGAUUUAAAUUAAAAUCAACAAUUAAUUUUAAUUACGUAUUUUAUUAGGUUCACAACUUUUCAACUUUUAUCAAAAUUUAAUGAAAAAUUUGAUUUCAAUAUCAAGCAAAAACUAUACAUGAAAGUGACAAGUAAUUUAUAAUUAAAAAAAAAAAUUGGAGGUCACUAAUUCAUUUCAACUAAGUUGAUCGAUCUAACUUUCUGUUUGUCAAAUAGAUUAAGACAAAUUUAUUCCUUGAAAUAAAAUUAUGAAACUCAAUGGUACGCGUGACAGUGACAAAUUCGAUAGCCCUUAACUUUUUUUAAUUAAAAAAAAAAAAAGUUCGAAGAUAUCAUUCCACUUGAAAUAUAUUGAACUUUAGUAAACCAAUAUAUAAUAGUAUGUGUUAACCUCGAAAAUUGGUCCUUCCACGUGGCCAAUCGAGAGCUACUCCACGUAUUCCUCCCUGCACACAAUCAGCAAAUGGUCAGACGUACACGGUUGGGAUCAGUGAGGGUGGUGGCGGCCGUAUACACUCCGACGGUCAAGUCAGGUUUAAGUGGUCGGAACAGUACUCAGGGGCUGUGCAAAUCAAUGAUAAAGGGGGAGAAGAAAAUAUAUAAGCUUGCUAUGGAAUGCUAUGUAGUAAGAGUUUCAUUACCUUUGUCUCUUGCCAAACCUUGGGUAUUUAUAGGUGGUAUGAGCCGUUGGAUGUGGGACGCGUGUAUACAUCUGACGGUAUGAGGCGUCCGCCAAUAGGCGUCAAUCAGCCACGUCUGUAGAGUGGGCGGACAGCUUGUUUCUUCUGAGUCGAAUUGACAUAAAGUUAAUAAGUCACAUCAACUAACCUCAUGAAGACGUCAAAUCAAUUUACACCUUAGGUGCAGGAAAGAUCUUGGCACAAAUCUCUUUCUGAAAUUGGCGGCGAAUCUUCUAACUGGGAUCCACUUGGCCUCGGCCUCGGGCGAGGUGCUUUUGGUCAGGUCAGUAUUACUAGGUUGCAGGCAUUGCCGAUAUCACUUCAGAAACACUUCGAAAGGGUCUUUAUCAGGUUGGAAUAUAUGGUGAUGAGCGUUCCGAGGCGUAUCAGAUCGGAGCGUAACAAUGGUCCCCUAAGUCCAGAUAUGAAUAUUUAUAUCAUGGGUGGACUUGCUUUCCUGACCCGACCGUGACUUGUGGGAGCUUGGUGUUGAUCUUUUGCAGUAAUCGAGAUUAUGAUCCUAGGCAGAUGUGCCAAAGUUUCGUUACUAUGCACAGCGUCCGAGACGAUAAACCCACAUAGGACUUCGCGUCAAGUGCGUCGAAGCUUCGUAAAUAUGGUACGCUGGCCCAUAGGGCCGACGCGCUGGAAGAUGGAUAAAACUUUGUAAAGCAUGGGAGGGAACGCAGCAUCCGAGGCGAGGACCCACAGGGGGCUUCGCGUCAGGUGCGUCCAAGCUUUGUAAAGUUGAGUGAGGAGCUCAUCUGCCACCGGUGCCCUGACCCACAGGGCCGACGCGUUGGGAGAUGGCGAAAACUUUGUAAAACAUGGGAGGAAACGCAGCAUCCGAGGCGAGGACCUACAGAGGCUUCGUGUCAGUGUGUCCAAACUUUGUAAAGUUGAGUGAGGAGCUCAUCUGCCAUCGGUGCGUUGACCCACAGGACCGACACGUUGGGAGAUGGCUAAAACUUUGUAAAGUAUGGGAGGAAAUGCAGCAUCCGAAGCGAGGACCCAUAGGGGACUUUGUGUCAGGUGCAUCCAAGUUUUGUAAAGUUGAGUGAGGAGCUCAUCUGCCACCGGUGCCCUGACCCACAGGGCCAACGCGUUGGGAGAUGGCUAAAACUUUGUAAAGUAUGGGAGGGAACGUAGCAUUCGAGGCGAGGACCCACAGGGGCUUCGCGUCAGGUGCGUCCAAACUUUGUAAAGUUGAGUGAGGAGCUCAUUUGCCACCGGUGCGCUGACCCACAGGGCUGACGCGUUGGGAGAUGACCAAAACUUUGUAAAGCAUGGGAGGGAACACAGCAUCCGAGGCGAGGACCCACAGGGGGCUUCGCAUCAGGUGCGUCCAAGCUUUGUAUAGUUGAGUGAGGAGCUCAUCUGCCACCGGUGCCCUGACCCACAGGGCCGACGCGUUGGGAGAUAGCUAAAACUUUGUAAAGUAUGGGAGGGAACGCAAUAUCGGAGGCGAGGACCCACAGGGGGUUUUGCGUCAGGUGCGUCCAAGCUUUGUAAAGUUGAGUGAGGAGCUCGUUUCGAGGCGAUUCAAACGUCAAAUGAUUUAACAACUGUUGCGUGUUUCCAAGGUGACAGUUGGGUGCCAGCCCAUUCUCCUAAAAGGCUGCUGCAGCUACCUAUUAUCAUUAUUGACGGCUGGUUGUAACCGAGGUGACGCGUUUUAAGCAAGCGUGAAAGUCACAGCGACAUCUUGGGCGUAGAUCAAAUCUGGUGUUUCAUUUCAACGGCCUAGAUUGAAGAUGCGAUGAACGGCUUAAAUUGAUCGCAUUUGAAUUCGAUGGUGGAGAUCGGAUUUGUCUUUCUAUAAAAGGAGGACUUUGAGGUUUUCUCAGGCUUUCUACCUUUGUGAAACAAACAUGUUACUUUGCUCUCAAAUCAUUUGGCGAUUUCUGGCAUUUUUUAAGCAAUUCCGACGAGAAAAUUGAACUUCCGGCGACCUUACACCAUUUCCAGCUAGGAAAACCUUCAAAAUCGUAAGUUUCAUACCUUUUAGGGCUUUUAAAUUUUGAAAGAAUGGCCUCGGAAGGAAGUUCUGGUUCGGGGAGGGGGUUAGAACUAGUGAGGAUGGACGAGCCCAUUGUGGUGACCUCCUCAGAAAUAGCUGGGGCAAUAAUAAGGGAAAAAAUAUAUGGAAGCGACCGGAUAGCCUAGCAGAUAUGUCUGUGCAUUGGGGGGCAUCGGACUACCCAUCUAAAUUAAGAGAGGCCGACCUGAGGAGACUUAGGACAGAGUAUAGGAUCCCUAAUAGCAUAGAUUUGAUCCUCCCCGGGUCGAAAGAGAGAGCCUGCUACCCUAGGCCCGGCUGUGUGGCCAUUAGCGAGGCGAUACUUGGGGUCGGACUUAGGCUGCCAGUUCACCCAUUCUUUAGGAUGGUGCUAGAUCCUAUGGGCUAGCCCCGACACAACUCAAUCCGAACUCCUGGAGCCAAAUGGUGGGCUCCUGGAUGUUGUAAAAAGAGGCAUUAUUAGGGGUGGAGAUGCCUCUCUCCAUCUUCCAGACCCUUUAUAUACCUAAGGUUACUGCCGAGGGGGGGGAUAAGACCUGGGGAUGGUAUUACCUUAUUUCACGGGGUUCCUACACUCCAUUCGUGCUCGAUCUGCCGCGCUUCAUUAAAGAAUGGAAGAACUCGUGGUGCUAGGCCGCAAGGCAAUGGGACACGAUAGAGGGGGACCCCCUGGCGCCUCUUACGGUCCCGACAAAGUAUUCAACACUUAGUGAGUAUAAUAGUUGUUUUUCCUUAUAUUUCUCUUCGGUUUGAAUUGUGCCUAACAUUUACAUUUCCUUUGUAGGUACUCUUCCUCGGUGAGAGCUGUCAUCUGAGGACUUUGAAACCAUCUGCAUCAUUUAUCAGCUGCCUCAAAAGAAGAGGUCUUACCAUAGGCUGAUCCGAAAGAACAUCCAUUUCAUUACUCACGAUCUGAUGGCAUCCCAAGGUAACUGGGCCGAAGUCUUUGCUUUUUAUUCCGAACUCUUAAGACUUGUACUAAUUCCUUAUUCGCUCUUUGCAAACAACUUUAAUAAGAAGAUGCCGGUGCACCCUGACUUUAAGACAUCUAGAAGAUGAUGGCAGAGGCACGGGCGUUGAAGGCCUCCUCCUCCUCGUACAAAAAGAAAAUGGAGGAUUUGGUGGAAGCCAGUAAGAGGCUUCAGCCUCCGACGGAUGAGGAGGUACCGGAGGACUCGGAGGAAGGGCAAGAAGAGUACCAUCCCUCCAAAACACCCAACUGUGGCAAGGCCACCCCCUGCUCUGAGGCAGACCAUAAUUCCCACCGGGGUGGCCAUUCCGGAGAAGAGACCCACCCCAACUGAGCCUGCCAUUGCCCCAGCCACAACACCCCUCGCUGCAGUGCCAAUUGAUCAAGUGCCAGGGCAGCAGAAGAGGAAGAGGCCCCCAUCUCUCUAAGGAGGUCGACUUUCUGGGCACCAAUCCCGAAGAGCCAGUAAGAGAAGUGUUGGAGGCUCUUCCUCCAGAAACAGCUGCGGUGGCGGUGGUCCACAGCAAAUACUAGACAAAGGAAUGGAGGGACCACACCGCCUCCUGCACGGCUGAGGAUUUGGUGGCUACGAAUAGCGCCUGCGUGGCUCGGGCCCUGAGCACAAGCAUCCAACUUGAGGGCUUGGUGUAGGAUCUGAAUUCUAAGAGGGAGGACCUCGCUAAGCGCUUUGAGGAGGCGAUGCACUAUGGGGAUACCGUGCAAGCGGCCCAGGCCAAGGCCACGCAGGCGGAGGAGGGGAAGAAGGAAGCUGAGGCCCAGCUAACUGCCGCCAAAGUAGAAGUGGAACGGCUGAAAAAGGAGUUGUACGAGGUGGAGUGCCAAGUGGUUGCUGUGACUCGGAGGCUUGAUCAUGCAAAUGAGCACCACAAGCUCGUCACCGAGGCUCUGGAGGCCUCCAACAAAGAGAAGGCGGAGCUGAGGCAGAAGGCAGAGGAUCAGUCAGAGGAGAUUGCCUCUUUGAGGGAGGAGUUGAAGUCUGCAGGGGAGGUGGCAGUCCAGAACUUCAUCAACCACUUUGAAGACCAUCCCCUGUAUGACGACUUCGCCAAUUUCUGGGCCUCAUGGAGUGCCCAAAGCUUAUUGGGUCGACUGAAAGAGGUGUACCCCACUUUGGACAUCUCUUCAUUGGAGGCAGAGUUCGGGGGGCCAACUGGAGGUCGGCCUGAUAGGCUUGGCGAGGAGGCUCCGGAGGCGGCUAAUGUAAAAGUCCCUCCAACAGAGUAGGGUUACCUUUUGUAAUGGCUUCGGCCUCCUUGUACUUAAAUUUAUCCAAUGAAAUGAAAUUUUUGCUAAAUAUUUGCGCUUCUGCUUUUUUAUCUUUUCUAUCUGUUCAUACUUGUAUGAAUGACAAGCGGCAGACUAAUUGCCUCGUGACAAUAACCAAUUAAUAACUGCGGACCGGACCACUCAAGUUAUUAUAAGUUUAAUCACUUAAGCGAGUAUAAAGCGACUCUUAAUGCUAACCUGUUAACAAUUUGAGAUCGGACCACUUAAGUUAAUAUGAAGCGGACCACUUAAGUAAACAUGAAGAGCCCCUUAACGUUAAUCAGCUAAUAAUUGAAGAUCGGAUCGCUUAAAUGAACCUACUGAAGGAUUGAGGAAACUAUUUACUAACUGAUGUGACUCGAAACCGAAGCUUCAUUACUUAAGAUAAAUUACACCACCCUUUACUAAGGCAAUUCCAGCACUUAGGGAAUUUUAAAACUGAGAUCAGAUCAGAACAAUCGAUUCAUUAUAACAUACUGAGAUCGGAUCGGAACAAAGUCUCAUCAUUGAUAGUACUUCCUCAAGUGUUCGAUGUUCCACUGAUGAGGCAGCGCCUUUCCUGCCAUAUCUUCGAUUUCGAAGGUACCAGGUCUGGAUUCCCUGCGGAUGCGGUAAAGGCCUUCCCAGUUCGGCCCAAACACUCCGACCCGGUUAGUUUUGAAGAUUGGAAGACUCUUUUGAGGAUGAGGUCGCCCAGACGAAGAGUUCUAUUUUUGACCUUGGAGUUGUAAUAGCGGGUCAUCUUUUGAUGAUAUUUUGUCAAGUUCACUUAGGAGGUAUUUCUCAUUUUCUCAAGGACGUGUAGUUCGCUUAUUCGAGCCUCGUCGUUGCUGAUCUCAUUGAAAUGUAUCCAUCGAUGUGAUGGGACCCCGACUUCGACCGGAUUCAUGGCCUCGGUUCAUAGGUCAUGGAAAAUGGGAUUUCACUGGUUACAGUCCGGCAAGAAGUCCUGAUAGCCCAGAGGACGUGGGGGAGUUCAUCAACCCAGGCCCCCUUUGAGGUAUCAAGUUUCCUUUUCAGGGUGUGUUUGAUAGUCUUGUUCACUUCUUCAACUUGCCCAUUCGCUUGGGGGUGAUGAGCUAUCGAGAAUUCCUUCUUUAUGCCCAGCUCGUCGUAUAAGUCUCGCAUCUUCCUGUUAUCGAACUGCCUUCCAUUAUCAGACACUAAGGAGUGGGGAAUGCCGAAUUUACAAAUGAUAUUUUUCCAAACGAAUUUGGUAGUAUUAGCCUCGGUAAUUCUGGCAAGGGGUUUAGCCUCGACCCACUUAGUGAAUUAGUCAAUGGUGACAAUGGCGAAAGUUGCACUUCCUCUUCCUUUUGGGGAUAGACCAAUGAAGUCAAUGUCCCACUUGGCGAAUGGCCAAGGGCUGGUUACUACGGAAAGGCUCUGAGCAGGCUGUCUUUGUAUGUUCGAGAAGUACUGACACUUGUCACAUUUCUGGACAAACUGGCAAGCAUCCCUUUUCAGGGUCGGCCGGAAGUAGCCUUGAUGGAGAACCUUGUGUGCCAGAGCCGUUCCUUCGAAGUGAUUUUCGCAGAUUCCUUCAUGGAUUUCCUUGAGUAUGUAUGUGGCCUCUUCACCUCCUACGCAUCGAAGAAGCGGCGAGGCGAAGCCUCUCUUGUAAAGGGUAUCUUUUUGCAAGACGAAGUGUGCAUCCCUUCUUCUUAACUUCCUCGCCUCGCCUCUGAAAGCAGGCAGUGUUUGCUCCUUUAGGUAGGCGAUGAUGGUCUGCAUCCAUAAUGGGGUGCCUUCUAUCCACAGUAUCUCUUUACCUUUAGAGGUGGAGAGCUUUGAUAAGUGCUCAAUAAGGAGGACGUUUAGCAGCUCUGAGUCCAUGCUGCUGGCCAAUUUUGAGAGGGCGUCUGUAUGUGCAUUCUCUAGACGGGGGACUUGAGUCAGUUCGAACCUUUCAAAAUGAGGAAUUAUGUCCAGAACCAACUUCAAGUACGCAAUCAUGUUACCAUCUUUGGCUGCGAAGUUUCCAUUUACCUGAUUUACUAUAAGCUGAGAGUCACUGCUCACCAGGACCCUCCUGACCCGCAUCUCCUUAGCGAGUCUAAGACCUGCUAGAAGGGCCUCGUAUUCGACAACAUUGUUCGAGGCUUUGAAGCCGAACCUCACUACACAAUUUAGCUUGUGGCCUUCCGAGCUUUCCAAUACGAUCCCUGCUCCAGCGCCAACCUCUCCUGAGGACCCAUCCAUGAACAGUUUCCAUGUUGGGGGCUCGGCUGGUUCCAUUAUCGCCUCCAUUUCUAGGGCUUUGGCAAACUCAACCAUAAAAUCAGCAAGAGCCUGGCCCUUGAUGGCGUGUCGAGGUCGGAACGUUAGAUCGAACUCACUGAGCUCGAUUGCCCAUUUUAGCAGGCGUCCUGAUGCGUCUGUUUUCUGCAUCACCUGCUUUAGUGGAGAUUGGUGAGAACUUGUAUUGAGUGGGCUUGGAAGUAUGGCCUCAGCUUUCUUGAGGCUAUGAUAAGGGCGAGUGCCAGUUUUUCCAUGUCUGGGUAGCUUGUUUCAGUUGGGAAAAGUGCUUUGCUGAUGUAGUACACUGGCAAUUGGAGCUCAUUUUCUUCCCUGAUUAGGACUGCACUGACCGCCACGUCUGAAACCGCUAGAUACAAUAGCAGAGAUUCAUUCGGUUGAGGUUUUGACAAGAGGGGCGCCUCUCCAAGGUGCUUUUUCAGAGCCUCGAAGGCUUCUUCACACUCCGAAGUCCAUUGGAAUUUCUUUCUUUGCUUCAGCACAUUGAAGAAAGACAAGCUUUUAUCUGUGGCUCUGGAAAUGAAGCUACUGAGUGUGGCUAUCCAACCAUUGAGACCUUGGACCUCCUUCGGUUUCUGAGAUGACCUCAUUUCUAGCAAGGCCACGACUUUCACUGGAUUCGCCUCAAUUCCUCUCUGAUUUACAAUAUACCCCAAGAACUGACCCGAUACCACUCCAAAGAUGCACUUGAGGGGAUUCAAUUUCAUACUAUACUUUCUAAGUAUCUGAAAAGUUUGGUCGAGGUGACUCACGUGUUCGGCUGCCUGAAGGCUUUUGACCAGCAUGUCAUCCACGUAGAUCUCCAUGGUUUUGCCAAUGAGUUCAACAAACAUCAUGUUGACCAACCUUUGAUAUGUAGCUCCGGCAUUCUUAAAUCCGAAGGGCAUAACUUUGUAGCAAUACAGACCCCUAUCCGUAAUGAACGAUGUAGCUUCCUCAUCGGGUCAGAACAUGGGUAUCUGGUUAUAACCUGAGUAUGCAUCCAUGAAACUCAGUAGCUCAUGUCCAACAGUAGAAUCCACAAGUUGAUCUAUUCUUGGAAGUGGGAAGCUGUCUUUGUGGCACGCCUUAUUUAGGUUCGUGAAGUCCACGCAUACCCUCCACUUUCCGCUGGGCUUUUUCACUAGAACCGGGUUGGAUAUCCACCUUGGAUAGAUGACCUCUCUUAUGAAACCACUACGGCUAAGUUUGUUUACUUCGUCUUUCAGUGUCUCGUACCUCUCCGGAUUGAGGGCACGCCUCUUCUGUCUACGGGGGCAUAGGAGGGAUUGAUGUUAAGGUGAUGACAACUGAUCGUAGGAUCUAUUCCCACCAUAUCUUUAUGUUUCCAUACGAAGACAUCUAGGUUCCCUUUCAGGAAGCUUAUCAUCUCUACUUUUGCUUCAGGGGACAACGACUUUCCUAUACGCAAGACCUGACUAGGGUCUUCUGGGUUGACGGGGAAAAUCUCCAAUUCUUCCAUUGGGGUCGCAUUUGGUUCAGAGUCAAUUAUUCGGGGAUCUAACUCAUCAAGAGGGUAUCCUUGUUCAAGGACCUCUUCCAUGUCGACAUCUCCCUCUUGUUCAGAGGUAUGCCCUUGUUCAGGGGCGUCAAGCAUUUCCACGUCCGUACUGAUCUCAGCGGGUACCUCAGUUAGGAUUACAUUAAUAGUUUGGGGCUCGAACUUUCACAAUGAGUUUAAGUAGCAUGCCCUGGAGCCCAUCUGAUCGCCUCGGACCGUAGCAAUCCCAUGUUCGGUUGGAAAUUUCAUGCAAAAAUAGUGAAUGGACGUGACAGCCCAAAGAUCUUUCAGAGCGGAUCUGCCCAAUACUCCAUGAUAAGCCGAUCUGUGAUCUACCACCAAAAAUUCCAUGAAGUGCUGGGCCAUUAGGGGUUCCGAACCCAUUUCGACUGGCAGGGUGAUACACUCUCGUGGGAUUAUGCUGUCCUCAGUGAAUCCGAAUAAUGGGUCAAUCAUGGGGAUCAACCCAUGUUCUAUUUGUAUUUUGUCAAAAGUGGAGCCGAACAAUAUGUUCACGGAACUGUCAUUGUCAACGAGCAUGCGUUUUAAUCCGUUUCUAGCCACUAAGGCUCUUACAACGAAUGCAUCACAGUGGGGGUGGUGAACCCCCUUUGAGUCUUCCUAGGAGAAGGUGAUUGGGGCUAUCCUAACUGCUGCUUGUGAUUCGUUGACAAUGUAAGUGAUCAUUGGGAGGAUCAUUUGCUUCCCUUUUGUAAUUUCUUUGGGCAUUUUUGGUGUUGCCACCGACGUGGGGUCCCCCAAUGAUAGUAUCGAUUUCCCUAAUGACCUCGCUUCUAGAAAAUUAGGCUUGGUUUCUCUGUCUGGAUUGACCUCGAUCCCUUGAUUCUCUUUUCUGAGAAGAUUGUUCCCUGUGACCUCUCCCUCCCCUCCUCGAGGAGGCGGAUCUGCGAGAGUAUUCGUUCCUGCUGGAAGGGUGCGGGUUGCUUCGAUCAGGGCGUCAAUUGGUGUCACGGCACUCACUAGUGUCAUGUCCAUAGAGUUGAUGGAACGUACAAAAGCUUGCUCCUUACAAGGGUCUAUUUGACAUCUUCUUCUUCUUGUUAUCAGCUCUUCCAGAUGGUCUCGCUUCGGCAGGGGCAUUAUCAUAUGCCAACACCGGUAUUGCAUUCAAUGUGGCGGAAGCUAGGGCCUGUCUGGAUGUGGGAGCUAUUGUAUGACCUGCUUGGGUCCAUUGCUGAGUAACAAGGUGUGCUGCGGGUCCUCGACCUACCUGCCUCUGAGGAGUAGGGAGUCCCUGCGCGGCACGAUUGCGAUGAUCAAUCAUUUCUUCACUAACAAUUUUCACUCUCAUCAUUUCCACCAGCUCGUCAUAUGUGGAGGGAUUCUUGCUGUGCACGUCCCUUCAGAACAAAGUGUUCAUGUUGAGCCCACCCUUCAGGGCUGAAAGGACUUCUCUGUCAGUAACCUGUUCGCAGUAGGUGAUUUCGUCUGUAAACCUGGCGAGAUAGCUUUUCAGCGUCUCCCCAGGGGCCUGCCUCAUAUCUUGCAGGCGUUGCACUGGUGCCUCUCCUUCCCUACGUGAAAGGUACUGGUUCAAAAAUGCUUUCUUCAAAUCUGGCCAACUUCUGAUGCUUAGGGGAGGAAGCUUGCUGUACCAUACCUUGGCGGCCCCGCCUAGCGUUAAAUGGAAGGCUCUGCAUUUUAAAGCAGGCAAGGCUCCCUUUAGGCUCAUCUGUGUCAUGUACUUGGUGAGGUGCUUCUCCGGAUCCCCCUUUCUUUCAUACUUGGGGAUCUUAGAGGGCAUGAAAUUUGCUAGCAUUGGGAAACUUCGGAUCUCCCUUGAGAAAGGGAGGUUAUCAUCAUCAUCGUCAAUCUCAUAAGAUCGACAGGGCCCAUCUGACCCUUCAUCAUCUUGGAUGUUCUGGGGAGGUAGAGGUGCUUCUCCCUGACUUCCCCAAUCGACUAGGUUCCUUCUGUCUCUCCUAUUUCUAGAAGGAGGGGGGCAUGUUCUUGUUCGUGAUCUGGACGAACUGAUCCUCUUGUUGGGCGGACCCUAUUGCUAGGACCCUCCCCUAUCCGGUCAAAGAUGCUUACCGAUCUUUGGUCCUCAUGUUCUUGAGGAAAAUUGUCCCCCAAGCAUGGUUCUGAUGGCUGACUCCCUUGCACAUAAGAUGUGGCUUUGGCGUUCAUCUCCCUUUCGAGGGGACGUUCUGUGUGCCGGCUCAUGUGGCAUCGGGAGUGAGAUACAGGGGCUUCCCGUACCAAAUAAGAUCCUUGGGGCAUUUCAUAGCCCUGAUGACCCUGGGCUUGCAUGAGGAGUUCAUGCAUUGUCAUAUUCUGAGUUGCGAUGUCUCUCAUACCUGCAGCUAUCUGAGCCAUUCCUUCAGUGAGUAUGGCUAUUCUUCCACCUUGGCGACGCCAUGAUGUGGUCUCUGAUGAGUAACAUUGUUAUGGAGUACCUCUUCUUUAGAGGCCUCUCUCAUGGGGUUGUCCUCUUCAUGGCUAUAGCUCAUCCUACCUCCUUUUUCAAGGGUGGUGAGAACUUGGAUUGUAACCCGACUUUGUUUUUUUUUCAAGAAUGUCCCCUUUUCAAGGUUAGUCACUAGUUUUCUGGUAGCUUCUCCGAUAGAGAAUGCAAAACUUCGAAUGGGAAGUGUUUCGCACAGACGGCGCCAAUCUGUUGAUCUCGAAAAUUGGUCCUUCCACGUAGCCAACCAAGAGCUACUCCACGUAUUCCUCCCUGCGCAUAAUCAGCGAAUGGUCAGACGCACAUGGUCUGGACCAGUGAGGGUGGUGGCGGCCAUAUACACUCCGACGGUCAAGUUAGGUUUAAGUGGUUUAAACAGUACCCAAGGGCUGUGCAAAUCAAUGAUAAAGGGGAAGAGAAAAUAUAUAAGCUUGCUAUGGAGUGCUAUGUAGUAGGAGUUUCAUUACCUUUGCCUCUUGCCAAACCUUGGGUAUUUAUAGGUGGUAUGAGCCGUUGGAUAUAGGACGCGUGUAUAUAUCUGACGGUAUGAGGCGUCCGCUCAUAGGCGUCAAUCAGCCGCGUCUCUAGAGUGGGCAGGCAGCUUGUUUCUUCUGAGUUGAAUUGACAUAAAAUUGAUAAGUCACAUCAACUAGCCUCAUGGAGACGUCAAAUCAAUUUAAACCUUAGGUGCAGGAAAGAUCUUGGCACAAAUCUCUUUCUGAAAUUGGCGGCGGAUCUUCUAACUGGGGUCCACUUGGCCUUGGCCUCGAGCGAGGUGCUUUUGGUCAAGUUAGUAUUACUAGGUUGCAAGCAUUGCUGAUAUCACUUCAGAAACAGUUCGGAAGGGUCUCUAUCAGGUCGAAAUAUAUGGUGAUGAGCGUUCCGAGGCGUAUCAGAUCGGAGCGUAACAGUAUGUUUAGAUUAAUUUCUCAAUGCAAUCUAUAUAGAUACAUAUACGUUGACACGAUAUAAUAUAUACGAUGUUCAAACUAUCGUCUAUUAAGUCAUUAUUUUUGUUUAUCGAGUUAAUAAACUUGCAUGACAAUACUCAAUUGAAGUAAAAUAGUGAAUUUAAUGAUUCAAUCGUGACAAAAUGAAGCAUAAAUUCGAUGGCAUUAUUAUAUCAUUAUUUUUGUUUGUCAAGUAAAUAAAAUUGCAUAACAUGACUCAAUUAAAUAAAAUAAUGAAUAUAAUGAUUCAAUCGUGACAAAAUGAAGCAUAAAUUCGAUGGCCUUGCAUGUUAUUCUACUUCUAAAAAAUUGAGAUUAAAAAAAAAAUAUUUUUUUUAAAAAUAUAAUAGAUUAUUUAAAUUUGUUUAUCGAUCAAACCGAGUGUCGACUUUUUGGCUGAUUAUAAAUGACACCUACUUUGCCGCUGGAUUCAUUAUACCCUUUUUCGAAAAUUACAAGUUAAAGAUAAAAUCAAGCUGUUCGUAGCAAGUCUUAAAACUCCGGUAAAGGAAAAACGUUUCGAUAAAGUGACACUUAAGAUGUGUGUGAUUAUAAGUAUGGAAUUUGCAUCAAUUGUCUAGAACUUAUUUAAAUGAAAACUGUCAAUUAAACGUUUUUGAUUGCUUAUUUUUCAACUAAGAAAUUAUUUUGAGAAGUGUGAAUUGUCUAGAAAAUAAAAACCUAUCCAUCUACGAAAAAAUGUUUUCCUUAACUUCUGAGGAAAACAUUGUUAAAUGACCAACUUUUGAAAAAUAAUUAAAGUAAAAACAAAAUUUAGACUUGCAAGGUGGACUCGGCCCGGCCUUCAAUUAAAUUUAAAAGAAUAAAAAUAAUUUUUUUCAUGUUGAUAGACAAGAAUGCAUUGUAAUAAUUGUAUUGAAUUGGUUAAUCGUGACUUGCCUUUUGAUUUUAAUUAAUGUAUCGACUUUAGACUAAAUUUGAAUCACAAUCUUUAUUCUUAAACUACAAUGAUCACAAGUUGGAAAACAUUUUUUACACAUUUUCUCGUCAUGCUAGUUAAUCUUAGAUUAUAAGGAGUGAAUUCUACUAAACGCAAAAGUGAAUGAAACUGAAGAAUCUCACGUACUAUAAAGAUAAAAGUGAUUUUUAACCAACUUAUAAAUUUGAAAAAACAAUACUUCAAAAAACAAUAAUAAUAAUAAUAAUAAUAAUAAUAAUAAUAAUAAUAAUAAUAAUAAUAAUAAUAAUAAUAAUAAUAAUAAAUAAUAAAUGUACAAAAACAGUGUAGCCAUAAUUAAUACAGAUGCUGUGGCAGCAUCUCUGUCUGUCCUUUUUUUUGGUCAUUUUCCAAUAAAAAAUUGUCAAGUAUCAUUUAUAUUAAUUCUGACAACACAUUUUCACAUGUAGCAGAUCUCGUAAAAAAUCUAAAUUUAACUCAAUUUUUGACGCAAUAUGUCAAAAUUCGAUUGGCUAGACGGUCGAGAGGGCACGAAGAUGAGGACAACACAUCUGUACCUCUAAAAGGAUAAGGUAAUUGAUUGGAAGUUUACAUAACAAUAAAGGAGCUAUAUUGAUGUCAAGUCUUCACACAGAAAUUGAAGCCAGUAACCAAACUGCAGAUAUAUAAAUUACAGACACAAUUACAGAGAUAAUAUAGCCAGUAAACACUACACCAGACAAAUCCAGUAAAUGAAUUUGUCCAAUUUAAGGCUGUCUUAUUAUAUUUUGUUUAGUACACACAACACACAACAUCAUCCAUAGCUACUUUGAAGGGCUUAAACCAUAUUCUGUCAUCAACAGUUGCAUGGGUCACAUGUGCAGUUUGAUCCACAAUUGCAGGCAUGGCCUCCUUCAGCACUGGAGCUUUUCUCAGAUCCGUCGGACUGCCUGCAACGGUUCCGUAAAAUUAAGAAAUGAAAAUAUACGUCAACAAGUGGAAAUAACUCUGGUUGAAUUAGUUUAUGGAGACUGAAAAGGCUCUUGAUGCACCAAGAAGCGAAAAACUCGAUGAAUACCAUUAAUGAAUACUAGUUGAUUCAAACGAAUACUUGGAAUUUAUUAAAAUUAAGUUCGAGUGGAUUAUAAGCAAAUUCAAAGAAAUUGAUUUGAUCAACAAAUCGCUUUGCCCUUAUAUUAAAGAUUUAAAUCAAAGCCUUAUAUUUGAUUGAGAUUAAAAUUAGAUUUUUAGCAGAUUUUGAUAAAAUUUGAUGAAAUACGUAGUUGAAAAGUCGUAGAUCCACAAAAUAUGUGAUUAAAAUUAAUAGUUGACUUUAACUUAAAUUAAAAUCUGAAUUUUAAUUUUUACUAAACAAGGGCUAUAUCUCUAUAUUUUCUGUAAUAUGAAAAUAAAAA